GUGCUUGCUUUGGUAGCACAUAUACUAAAAUUGGAAUGAUACAGAGAAGAUUAGCAUG
This 58-nucleotide small nuclear RNA is filed under the name Naja naja (Indian cobra). Lineage: Eukaryota; Metazoa; Chordata; Lepidosauria; Squamata; Elapidae. The record is from RNAcentral.